GACGAACGCUGGCGGCGUGCUUAACACAUGCAAGUCGAACGGAAAGGCCCUGCUUUUGUGGGGUGCUCGAGUGGCGACCGGGUGCGUAACACGAGAGUAUCCUGACCUUGACUUUGGGAUAACUUUAGGAAACUGGGGCUAAUACCGGAUAGGCGCUCCUGCUGCAUGGUGGGGGUUGGAACGUUUCGGCGGUUGGGGAUGGACUCGCGGCUUGUCAGCUUGUUGGUGGGGUAGUGGCUUACCAAGGCUUUGACGGGUAGCUGGCCUGAGAGGGUGACCGGCCACAUUGGGACUGAGAUACGGCCCAGACUCCUACGGGAGGCAGCAGUGGGGAAGAUUGCACAAUGGGCGGAAGCCUGAUGCAGCAACGCCGCGUGCGGGAUGACGGCCUUCGGGUUGUAGACCGCUUUCGCCUGUGACGAAGCGUGAGUGACGGUAAUGGGUAAAGAAGCACCGGCUAACUACGUG
RNAcentral lists this ribosomal RNA (468 nucleotides) under uncultured bacterium. RNAcentral describes it as "partial 16S ribosomal RNA". It matches the Rfam family "Bacterial small subunit ribosomal RNA", at positions 28 to 507 of the family's 1533-position model. The record is from RNAcentral.